UCAGUAACACGUAGUCAACCUGCCCUUGGGACGAGAACAACCUCGGGAAACUGAGGCUAAUACUCGAUAUGUGGGAGCGUCUGGAAUGGUCUUCCGCUGAAAAGGCGCAUGAUACAUGCACUAUGCGUUGCCCAAGGAUGGGACUGCGGCCGAUCAGGUAGUUGGUAAGGUAACGGCUUACCAAGCCUAUAACCGGUACGGGCCCUGAGAGGGGAAGCCCGGAGAUGGGAACUGGGACAAGGUCCUAGGUCCUACGGGGCGCAGCAGGCGCAAAAACUUCGCAAUGCGCGAAAGCGCGACGAGGUUAUCCCUGAGUGCCGUCUGAAAGGAUGGCUUUUCAUUCGACGUAAACAGUCGGUGGAAUAAGAAGGGGGGGCAAGACUGGUGUCAGCCGCUGCGGGAACCUUCAGGCCCAUCGAGAUGGUGGGGACUUUUAAUUGGGCCUAAAGCGUCCGUAGCUGGGUUGUUUCCGUCCCCCGUUAAAUCCAACGUCCCAAGCGUUGAACUUGCGGGUAAAUACCAAACAGCUAGAGGGUGGGAAGAGGUAACCGGUUUUUUUCUGGGGUAGGGGCCGAAAAUCUUUUGAUCCCAGGGGGGACCACCAGUGGCGAAAGGCUUGCUGGACUAGAACACGCCUGACGGUCAGGGCCGAAAGCUGGGGUAGCGAACCGAAUUAGAUACCCGGUUAGUCCUAGCUGUAAACGAUGGCUCGCUAGGGUGUUGGGUCGGCCCAUGCGCCGGCCCCAGUGCCGCAGGGCAAGCUGUUAAGCGAGCCGCCUGGGAGUACGGCCGCAAAGCUGAAACUUAA
Molecule: ribosomal RNA, 808 nt
Filed under: uncultured archaeon
Lineage: Archaea
Description: bacterial SSU rRNA
Rfam family: Archaeal small subunit ribosomal RNA
Source: RNAcentral